UCGAGAAUUUUUCACAAUGGGCGAAAGCCUGAUGGAGCGACGCCGCGUGGGGGAUGAAUGGCUUCGGCCCGUAAACCCCUGUCAUUUGCGAACAAGUUAAUCUACCUAACACGUGGAUUAUUGAUAGUAGCGAAAGAGGAAGGGACGGCUAACUCUGUGCCAGCAGCCGCGGUAAUACAGAGGUCCCAAGCGUUGUUCGGAUUCACUGGGCGUAAAGGGUGCGUAGGUGGCGAAGUAAGUCGGAUGUGAAAUCUCCGGGCUCAACCCGGAAAAUGCAUUGGAAACUGCUUUGCUCGAGGGUUGGAAGGGGGACUGGAAUACUUGGUGUAGCAGUGAAAUGCGUAGAUAUCAAGUGGAACACCAGUGGCGAAGGCGAGUCCCUGGACAACUCCUGACACUGAGGCACGAAAGCUAGGGGAGCAAACAGGAUUAGAUACCCCUGUAGUCC
RNAcentral lists this ribosomal RNA (448 nucleotides) under uncultured bacterium. RNAcentral's name for it is "bacterial SSU rRNA". It matches the Rfam family "Bacterial small subunit ribosomal RNA", at positions 355 to 796 of the family's 1533-position model. The record is from RNAcentral.